This is a long non-coding RNA of Lagopus muta (rock ptarmigan), 4777 nucleotides long. RefSeq lists it as uncharacterized. NCBI's taxonomy places the organism in Eukaryota, Metazoa, Chordata, Aves, Galliformes, Phasianidae. The transcript is spliced from 3 exons. The record is from RefSeq and is a predicted model, not a curated record.
GGGGCCACCUCUAGCGCCGCGGCGAGGGGUAGCCAAGAUGGCGGCCGGGGGGGCCGGUGGACGCAGUGCUGCCCGAUACCCGUUCCCGCGCUCAGCGCCGCUGCCCCUCGUUCGGAAGCGCGUGGGAACAUCAAAACCACAUGACAGUAUCGCCGGCACCAGUUAGCGCAGCUCUCCCAGAGAGCAUUGUGAUACUUCGGGUCCAGAUGGCCUCCUGACGUUCAGAGGUGUGACAAGGUGGAAGGUCAGAGAGAGGGACAGAGAGGAAUGAAUGAGAAAGAAGUUGUGCUUGCCACUGAGAUAAGUGAUGAGAUAGGAGCUCCAGAGUCUCCUAUGCUUACAGAGCAUAGCAUGUACUUGUGCGUGUGCACUUCCCACUUACAGUCAUACAGAAUAUUGCAUAAUAUUGGCAUCUGAACGUAUAGAAUUAUAAAUAGAAUAUAGAAUUGUUUUCAAAGAUAAAAAUGUAGUUUUCCCUCAGUUACAACUGUAGGAUCUUUUGUCUUUCAUUGUAUGUUAAGUGUGGAAUAUCAGAGCAGCCAAGCAUUCUGUGACAAUCUUGUUCUGCAAAGUACUCAAAUUGGACCGGGAUGUGAAGCUUUAAGAACACGGGAAAAGUUUCACUUAAUGCAGAACAGUAACGUUAUGACGGAUUUUACAUUUCAAAACUUCUCAGUACUCAUUUCUGUGUUUACUUCUUGAAGAAGCUACUGUUAACACAUCAGAACUCAAGGAUAUUAAAUAUAUAUAUAUAUACAUAUAUAUAUUUUUACUGCAUGAAAAGAAAUUGGAGAUAAAUAAAGCAUAUCAUUUUACAUAAAAUCCCAUCUCGCCCCCAAAGUGCAUCUAUGGAAAAGCACAAUCCUAUCCAUAAAGAACAACAAAAAAUCUAUAAAAUAGACAUCUCAGCAAAUGAGUUGACUGUUGAGGAAAGAGUUUCACAGUAAAUCAAAUUAUUUCAGUUACUGCAAUGAGCAGUUUGACUGCCUAAUUUCCCUCUUUAUAUGAGAACAUAGUUUGGAUUUUAUCAGAAGGUUUUAGCGCAUAUUUUCUCCUCAGCAUUUUGGUAUUCUUUCAUUAUGACACUUGUGCAAGUUCUUUUAUUUUGACCUCAGCUUUUAAGCCCUUUAUACUUAGAUUUGCACUGAAAUUGGCUUAUUAUAAUCAUGUCUUGUGAAGAUUUGCAUAUGUUCUUAAUGUCAGCUGUGUGAAUAGUCCUAUUAAGUUCCGUAGGGUGACUCUUGCACAACAUGAAAUAUGCACAGACAUCUUGGAAGAUUGAGGGCCAUAUGUUUGAGCGUUAAAACAAGUUUUCCAUCAUUUAAUUUUAAAAUAGAGCUGUGGAACUAAUGUGUUAUUUGAAAAAACAUUCUGGACUUAUCUGAAAUCCCAGAGGCACAACUUAAUUCAAUUUCUUGGCUCUCACAGUUUUUAAAUGGUACAAGUUCAAAACCAGGGAUGUCACUUCAAUUGAAAAUGGCAGCCAAGACAGUUCAAACAGAGCUAGGCACAUUCAGUCAUAAUUUUCUUCAUCUUUAUUCAAGUAUUUAAACAUAUUUAAAGAGGGAGAAAAUUAUCAUUUGUAAUUGAGAACUGAAAAAUGACCUUUUUUUUUAUUUGUUGAUUCAUUAAGCCUCAAAACGAGUACUUCUGUCAUCUGUGUUUUGGUUGUUUGUUCUGUGGCUGUUUUCUUCAGAACUAUUGGAAUUGUUUUCGUUGCUAAAAAGGACCCGUGCACGCUAAAGGUUAAAAGCCACAUACCUCGAAGUGGUUAGCCUUGGCUGCAGUACAGUUCAGCUGGAUUCGCGAGUGCACUUCCUGAGAUCCUAGUUUUAUGGGGAGUAUUUAUAGCCCUGUUCAGUCCCACUGACUUCAGAGAGAUGACACAAGCAACUAGCACUGUCUUCUUAGUAGGAAUUAAUGGUAUUCCUUUUUUUUUAUCUUAAUGGGCAAAUCAGUUUUAAAACCCUUUUUGGGUUUUUCUGAAGAAAGAACUGAAAUUAUGGUUGAUAGUAGGAUAAUUCUAAUUUUUCUAGACAAACUCGUCUGAAAGGAGUUAGCUCUCAUUCAACUGAAAGUUACUAAAGAUAAAUGCUUACUUUUAACAUUAUUUAAUAGAGCGCAACCCAGCAAAAGAGAAAGAAGUUAUCAAUCAGCCAAAGUGCUGUCUGAAUCAGUGGCGAAGCAGCAUUGGCUGAACAUCAUAUGAAGGGUUGUAUAAGCCCAUGCAGUCAGAAAAUGGCUUGGCAUGAGAGAAAUUAGAGAAAACAUCCUAUAUUCCACAAUUGCUUGGAAACACCAAUGUUUUCACAGCAGAGUGAUGCUGAUGAACACAGCUGCAGUUAGUGAAGUAAAUGUUCAUCCUUUGUGGGGUGAAAAUGAAUUGGUGCUGGCAAUUUUCUGGUCUUUCUUUCGUGUUUUGUUUCUCUUAGUUGGGUUUAAAAACUAAAAGCAAAAAACAAAGCCACGGUCAUGUUACAAGCCCACACUCCACAAUGACAUGGGAAACUGCAGAGGAUUAGGAACUUUCCCUUGCUACUUAGGCAGGUGAGGCAUGGAAAUACGAAAACAUAUUACAAUCCUUAAAGGAUCUCAUUAGAGUUCUCAGAUGUGUUUAUCAUUUCGUAUGUUUUUCUUUUAUCCCAGUAUCACACACAUACAACCUGAAAAGGAUUAGUCCAUUUAGACCGUUACUUAGAGUGUGAGAAGGUUAAAUAUGAAAACAAUUUUUUUUCUUAUGGCAUAAAAUAAGUGUAGAGUUUUCUAAGAAGCUGUAGAUAUUUUCAAAGCGCAGAGAGUUUUCUAGGUGAUGUCCAAAAUGUGCUGAAUAUUGUGUGUCUGCUUAAAAAAAAGAUAAAUCCUUAUAACUUUAUGGUGUCUCUUACAAAAAAAAAAUCAUUGCUUCAUCCGCUUCUUCUCACCCAAUCUCAGCUGUAAGUGCUCCAUAAAUAAGAUCUCUCUCGUAAAGUUGUAACUCAGAUCUCACUGGCUGCCAAAAAACUUGCACAGAAAGAUUGCUUAUGAUGAAGGCUUCACUUUCCAAAUAAUAGUAAAAAAACUCCCUACAUUCAAAAAUAAAUGCAGGACUGAGAUAUAAAAAGUAUUUCAAGAUGGGCAUCUGCAUAUUAUGUGAGGUGGGCACAAAUAAUUUAUAUCAGCAUCAUUUUUACUGUGCUUCAGUGUAAAUAGCAUAUUUCCAUCUGGCCUGAUUUAUGGGAUUUUGGAUGUUCACUAAAUGGUUGAGUGAUUUUUAUCACUGGAUUUUGUAUUUUAAAGUCAUGUAAAUUACACAAGGAGAAAAAAAAAAAAACUAGCAAAAUGAAUGUCCAUGAAUUAUUUGCUCCUUAGGGGACGUGUGGCAGAAUCGUGUGCUGAAGACCACUGUGCAUUGUCAGUGGGUGAAUGAAAGAUUCCCAGAGUGGAGUCCACACACAACUCUUGAGGUUGUUCUCACUAUUUCAGAGUAUUCAGUGUAAGCUCACAAAAGAGAAAGCACUCCACACAGAAAUCUGGACUUGAUAUAAAAUAUUUUUUGGAAGUAUAUUCAGUACAAAGACAUGCAGCUGAGGUGUUUGUGGCAGCUGCAGAGAGCUCCUCUGUGACCUCUGUUAAAGAUUACAUGAUGGACAGAGAAGCCAAGUCAGACUUCUUGUUCAAAGGGACGAUAUUUCAACUGCUCUUUGAUGGAGCAGCAACUGCUCCCUUCCUACAUGCAGGGAACAUGCAGGUUGCAUCCCGUGGAGCAGGACGAGGAGAGAAUGGUUUCCUCAAACCAUGGCUCUUUAAGACCUGCUUAUAUAGUAUUAAGACUGAAGUCACUUUCAGAUGCAGUUUGCUUAUUUUGUGCCUGUAAUUGUUUUGCAUCUCCCCUUCCAGUAGUAAUAACAUUUAUAGCACACACCUAUGUACUUGAGUAUUGGCUUGGGACAUACUGACGCAUAUACCUCCAACAGUUCCAGGCUUCAGAUUACAUUAGUAAUACUUCUAGUACAUCAAAUUACCUCAAGGAUCAAAACAUACUUUUAUGUUUGAAUGAACUACUUGGCAUAUUACAGAAGCAAAGGUGGAACAAACAUUCCCUGGAGGGAGAUUGCAGAUGCCAAGCUGGUUAGUCCGGUAAACAGCAGCCGGGCUCAGAGAACCACCUCCCUCUGUCUGCGCAUCACACUCUUCUUAUCGCAAUACUAUCUGAACACCUUUGCAAACCAAUUAAAUCCAGACAAGUUGUAUGUGAGAAAAUGCUUAAUCCAGAGUGAUAAACAGCAAAAGAUAGUAUUUUAUUGUUCUUCAACUCAUACAAAGCUCUAUACCUACUAAAGAAAUAGCAUCUGAGGGCAAGGCUGGAUGCAACUGGCUGUGGAUGCAGCACAGUAGGGCUCUCUUUCAUGUCACCAGUUUUCACAAGGUGACACUAAUUUGGCUUUUCUUAGAGAGUCUGCAUUAGGGUGCACAUAGGGUCCCUAAAAUCCUGACCUGUGAGCCCUUGGCCCUCAACUGCUUCCUUUCCAACUGCAGCAAGACUCUGGAAGUUCAUAAUCGGUAAUUGAAUUUGAUUGAUUCAAUUGCAUUUGAAACUUUCUCUUCCAGGGUACUUUUCCCUACAAGCACUGCAUAUUCCCAACCUUUGUCACACACAGAUAUGAUGAGCAUCUUAGAGGUGGCAACUUCUUGUAGCCAAGAAAUACUCGCUAAAGUGAAUUAAUUAAUGGGAAUCUGUUUGUAGCUUGGUUUCUGUGAGGCUUUCUAUGUAAUAAGAUCGUCUCAGAUGAUGUUUAUA